This 497-nucleotide ribosomal RNA is filed under the name uncultured bacterium. Its description in RNAcentral is "partial 16S ribosomal RNA". It matches the Rfam family "Bacterial small subunit ribosomal RNA", at positions 28 to 507 of the family's 1533-position model. The record is from RNAcentral.
GACGAACGCUGGCGGCGUGCCUAAUACAUGCAAGUUGAGCGCUGAAGGUUGGUACUUGUACCAACUGGAUGAGCAGCGAACGGGUGAGUAACGCGUGGGGAAUCUGCCUUUGAGCGGGGGACAACAUUUGGAAACGAAUGCUAAUACCGCAUAAAAACUUUAAACACAAGUUUUAAGUUUGAAAGAUGCAAUUGCAUCACUCAAAGAUGAUCCCGCGUUGUAUUAGCUAGUUGGUGAGGUAAAGGCUCACCAAGGCGAGGUUACAUAGCCGACCUGAGAGGGUGAGCGGCCAGAUUGGGAGUGAGACACGGCCCAAACUCCUACGGGAGGCAGCAGUAGGGAAUCGUGGGCAAUGGACGAAAGUCUGACCGAGCAACGCCGCGUGAGUGAAGAAGGUUUUCGGAUCGUAAAACUCUGUUGGUAGAGAAGAACGUUGGUGAGAGUGGAAAGCUCAUCAAGUGACGGUAACUACCCAGAAAGGGACGGCUAACUACGUG